GCGCGGGGAGCGCGCGGCUGCUGGGCCGCCGUCCUGGGAGGCGUCGGCGAGCCGCGCCUGCCUGGCCAGAGCCGAGCCCGGCGGAGUCCGGCCGGCCGCGCUCUGCUGCUCUCUCCCGGGCCGGGCUCGUCCGUUCCCCCGGCGUCCGUGGACGCCGCUCCGUGUCCCCGCUGGGCACGGCAGCCCGGGCCCUGCACAGCCACGGCCGCUAGCCUGAGGAGGCCCUCCUUCAGCUCCCGCUCUUCCUGCUCGCCGGACACGGACGACCAGGGCGCCUGCGAAGAUGAUGCCAUCUGGGAGAGCACAGAAUAAUAUUCCAUUGUCUGGAUGUCCCAGAGCUUAUUUAUCCAUUCACCUGUGGAACGACAUCUUGAUUGCUUGCAGGUUUCGGCAGUUAUGAAUAAAGCCGCUGUAAACAUCCACGUGCAGGUUUUUGUGUGGACAUAAGUUUUCAGCUCCUUUGCAUAAAUACCAAGGAGCACAAUUGCUGGGUCCUUGGUAAGAGUAUGCUUAGUUUUGUGAGCAGCCGCCAAACUGUCUUCCACAGUGGCUGGACCAUUUUGCAUUCCCACCAGCAAUGAACAAGAGUUCCUGCUGCUCCUCAACCUCGCUCGCAUUUGGUGGUGUCAGUGGUCUGGAUUUUGGCCAGUCUAAAAAACUUUUGAACCCAGAUGUUUUGGCU
Equus asinus (donkey) is the source of this 682-nucleotide long non-coding RNA. NCBI's taxonomy places the organism in Eukaryota, Metazoa, Chordata, Mammalia, Perissodactyla, Equidae. The record is from Ensembl.